Molecule: long non-coding RNA, 563 nt
Filed under: Neogobius melanostomus (round goby)
Lineage: Eukaryota; Metazoa; Chordata; Actinopteri; Gobiiformes; Gobiidae
Description: lncRNA (ENSNMLG00000005437.1)
Source: RNAcentral
GCUGGGUGAACUCUGCUGCUCUGUGAUUGGUUGAAGCAGGUCACAUGCUUUACAGGAAACCUGCUCUUCCCCCUGCAGCACCAGGGAAACUCUCCUCAACUCUCCGAGCUGGUUCUGUGAGCGUCAGAUCCAGAUUUCCUCCAGAUUCCUCUAGACUUUGUUUAAGACUCCAGACUUUCUUUUGGGCUGUGACGAGACGAGGAGGAAAUGGCAGAAGGAAAAGCAAAGCCUCCAGAGGGCAGCACUGAGCCACAGCUCUAUGGGACAAAAAGCAGAUCUACAGCCUCAGUGUCCGCUCUGUCCAUGAAGAGUGACUGGUCUAAAGACCGUGAUCCAACCUUCAGUCCUGAACCUGCUCCAGACUCACGAAGCAGAUCUACAGCCUCAGUGUCCAUGAAGAGUGACUGGUCUAAAGACCGUGAUCCAUGCUUCAGUCCUGAACCUGCUCCAGACUCACGAGAAACAGAGUCAGAGCAGGACGCCUGGCCUCAGUGUGGAGACACAGGCAACAGUCCUGAUCAGUGGGUUCAAGGCCCUGCACCAGGUGAGUCUGCUCAGUCUGA